This 475-nucleotide ribosomal RNA is filed under the name uncultured bacterium. RNAcentral describes it as "bacterial SSU rRNA". It matches the Rfam family "Bacterial small subunit ribosomal RNA", at positions 29 to 524 of the family's 1533-position model. The record is from RNAcentral.
AGCGAACGCUGGCGGCAGGCUUAACACAUGCAAGUCGAACGGGCGUAGCAAUACGUCAGUGGCAGACGGGUGAGUAACGCGUGGGAACGUACCUUUUGGUUCGGAACAACCCAGGGAAACUUGGGCUAAUACCGGACAAGCCCUUACGGGGAAAGAUUUAUCGCCGAAAGAUCGGCCCGCGUCUGAUUAGCUAGUUGGUGUGGUAACGGCGCACCAAGGCGACGAUCAGUAGCUGGUCUGAGAGGAUGAUCAGCCACAUUGGGACUGAGACACGGCCCAAACUCCUACGGGAGGCAGCAGUGGGGAAUAUUGGACAAUGGGCGCAAGCCCGAUGCAGCGACACCGCGUGAAGGAUGAAGGUCUUAGGAUUGUAAACUUCUGUUAAGUGGAAAAAGACUCGCUCAAAUAAGAGUGAGGGAUGAUGGUACCACUAGAGAAAGCACCGGCUAACUUCGUGCCAGCAGCCGCCUGUAAG